This 818-nucleotide ribosomal RNA is filed under the name uncultured Bacillota bacterium. RNAcentral describes it as "bacterial SSU rRNA". It matches the Rfam family "Bacterial small subunit ribosomal RNA", at positions 67 to 861 of the family's 1533-position model. The record is from RNAcentral. Lineage: Bacteria; Bacillati; Bacillota.
CGCGAAAACCCCGAAAGGGGUUAGUAGAGUGGCAAACGGGUGAGUAACACGUGGGUGACCUGCCUUCGAGCGGGGGAUAACGUCCCGAAAGGGACGCUAAUACCGCAUGACAUCCUGCCCUUGAACGGGUGGAGAUCAAAGCCGGGGAUCCGCAAGGACCUGGCACUUGAAGAGGGGCCCGCGCCUGAUUAGCUAGUUGGUGAGGUAACGGCUCACCAAGGCGACGAUCAGUAUCCGGCCUGAGAGGGCGGACGGACACACUGGGACUGAGACACGGCCCAGACUCCUACGGGAGGCAGCAGUGGGGAAUUGUUCGCAAUGGGCGCAAGCCUGACGACGCAACGCCGCGUGGAGGAUGAAGAUCUUCGGGUCGUAAACUCCUUUCGAUCGAGACGAACGGCCUCCGGGUGAACAAUCCGGAGGAGUGACGGUACCGAGAGAAGAAGCCCCGGCUAACUCCGUGCCAGCAGCCGCGGUAAUACGGGGGGGGCAAGCGUUGUUCGGAAUUACUGGGCGUAAAGGGCUCGUAGGCGGCCAACUAAGUCAGACGUGAAAUCCCUCGGCUUAACCGGGGAACUGCAUCUGAUACUGGAUGGCUUGAGAUUGGGAGAGGGAUGCGGAAUUCCAGGUGUAGCGGUGAAAUGCGUAGAUAUCUGGAGGAACACCGGUGGCGAAGGCGGCAUCCUGGACCAACACUGACGCUGAGGAGCGAAAGCCAGGGGAGCAAACGGGAUUAGAUACCCCGGUAGUCCUGGCCCUAAACGAUGAAUGCUUGGUGUGACGGGUAUCGAUCCCUGUCGUGCCGAAGCUAACGCAUU